AAGCGGUGGAUUAUGUGGAUUAAUUCGAUGCAACGCGAAAACCUUACCUACCCUUGACAUGUCCUGAAGCCUGGAGAGAUCCGGGUGUGCCCGAAAGGGAACGGGAACACAGGUGCUGCAUGGCUGUCGUCAGCUCGUGUCGUGAGAUGUUGGGUUAAGUCCGCUAACGAGCGCAACCCUCGCUGUAUGUUACAUGUGUCAUACAGGACCGCCGGUAUCAAGCCGGAGGAAGGUGGGGAUGACGUCAAGUCCGCAUGGCCUUUAUGUCCGGGGCUACACACACGCUACAAUGGUCGGUACAAUGGGUUGCUAAGCCGCGAGGUGGAGCCAAUCCCCCAAAGCCGGCCUCAGUUCAGAUUGCAGGCUGCAACUCGCCUGCAUGAAGCUGGAGUUGCUAGUAAACGCGCGUCAGCUAUAGUGCGUUGAAUACGUUCUCGGGCCUU
RNAcentral lists this ribosomal RNA (443 nucleotides) under uncultured Rhodocyclaceae bacterium. Its description in RNAcentral is "bacterial SSU rRNA". It matches the Rfam family "Bacterial small subunit ribosomal RNA", at positions 927 to 1382 of the family's 1533-position model. Lineage: Bacteria; Pseudomonadati; Pseudomonadota; Betaproteobacteria; Rhodocyclales; Rhodocyclaceae. The record is from RNAcentral.